AUAUGUAUCAAAAAAAGAAAAAAAAAGACAUACAUAUAAAAAUAAAUAUUUUAUGAGGGUAUACAUGUAAAUAUCAAUUUGGAAAGGAUAUUCAAGCAAAUUUCAAUAUUUAAGAGGGAACAUAUGCAAAAAAAAACUAAUAAAAUAUUAUAUAAAAGUUUUGAUAAAAUAUCAUAUGAAUUAUAAAAGAACAAAAAUCUAAUUUAAAUUACUAUAGAGUAUGGGGGU
RNAcentral lists this long non-coding RNA (228 nucleotides) under Elaeis guineensis (African oil palm). Its description in RNAcentral is "long non-coding RNA (EGUI_LNC034593)". The record is from RNAcentral. Lineage: Eukaryota; Viridiplantae; Streptophyta; Magnoliopsida; Arecales; Arecaceae.